This 450-nucleotide ribosomal RNA is filed under the name uncultured bacterium. Its description in RNAcentral is "bacterial SSU rRNA". It matches the Rfam family "Bacterial small subunit ribosomal RNA", at positions 28 to 474 of the family's 1533-position model. The record is from RNAcentral.
GACGAACGCUGGCGGCGUGCCUAAUACAUGCAAGUCGAGCGAAUCCCUUCGGGGGUUAGCGGCGGACGGGUGAGUAACACGUAGGCAACCUGCCUGUAAGAUCGGGAUAACUACCGGAAACGGUAGCUAAAACCGGAUAGCUGGUUUCUCCGCAUGGGGGAAUCAAGAAACACGGCGCAAGCUGUGGCUUACGGAUGGGCCUGCGGCGCAUUAGCUAGUUGGUGGGGUAACGGCUCACCAAGGCGACGAUGCGUAGCCGACCUGAGAGGGUGAUCGGCCACACUGGGACUGAGACACGGCCCAGACUCCUACGGGAGGCAGCAGUAGGGAAUCUUCCGCAAUGGGCGAAAGCCUGACGGAGCAACGCCGCGUGAGUGAUGAAGGUUUUCGGAUCGUAAAGCUCUGUUGCCCUAGACGAACAGCAGGGGGAGUCACUGCCCUCUGUGGACG